ACACCAUUACAUAGUACUCUAGCGUCAACAUAAAAAAUGAAGCUGUUUAACUUUGUGCUCAUUGGUCAGACUGGUUACAGGUAAGUUUUACAUGUUCUACCUGUGCUUGUCUUUAUUCUUCAUGGUCUAUGUUUGCUGUCUGCUGCCCAGGUAUGCUAUAUGUUUGUCUGUUCUAUUUUCACAGCUCCAAUGUUGACACACUGUCAGCUUUGUCUGACACCCUCAUUUCUUUCGGCACAAGCCCAAGCAGCUUGAUGGAGGAUGAGCCAGUGCUGGAAAAGGAAGAAGGAGGCUCAGUGAACAUUGACACAGGGAAUGGUGUUGAACAGGAGCCAACUCCAAAGCUCAGCAACUGUGAACCAAUAACAGACGAUCUCCUGUUCCUCAAUAAUGGCCCAGAGCAGUCAGCAGAGCCUGUUCCCCCCAGCCCAGGACGCUGGAGUCAGGAUCUGCUUAGUGGGCUAGAUAGUGGGACAGACCCAGCCAAGACCAGUGGCACUGUGGGUCUCCUGGUCAAUGACAUUGACACUGAUGACGUUAUAAUUACCACACAGACACGCAGCCUCAGCAUGGAGCGAGAGGAGGAGAAGCAGACAGAUGAGACAGCCAAAGAAACACAAAGCCUCACAGAGACAGCCACUAUCACCACCAAAACUGUGAUCAUUACUGACAAAAGUGAAGAGGAAAAUGCAGCUCCUCAGAGUUCACGUGUCAUUACCACAGUCACUGAAUCAAGCUCGGCUGAUCCGUUUGAUCCAUAUCCGAUAGGGACCACAUCCCCUAACAGCUCCUCUGACCUGCUCCAGCCUCUCUCAGAUAUUCCCAUCAACAGUGCUUCACUUAUUUCCAUAAAGAACGAAGAUCCAAGUCCAGAAAUAAACAUGAGCAGUAAAACAUUGGAGUCCCUUGCAGAUGACAUCAUUCCCAUCGAUACUGACACCAGAAGUCUCAGCAGUCACCGGUCAUGGGCACGCACAUGGGAAGUGAACCCACCUCAGCAGACAAACACAGACGAGAGCCGAGAAGCUGAACCAGAGGGCCAAGCUGAAGAUCAACAGACGGUGGUCAUGUUUGAGAGAAAGUCCAAAGAAAAUGAUUCCCCAUGGGACAGGUGGACGUCGCCCACUGUCUACACCAUCAAUACAGAAGAGGAGGAGGAAGAGAAAGAAGAAGAAAGGUAUCUCGACAAUAGCUGAGCUCAUUAAAUGCUUAUUAAAACACUCUUUUUCUACACUUUAGCAGAAUAUGAUAACAGCUCCUUAAAAUUCAGCUGCU
This 1275-nucleotide long non-coding RNA is filed under the name Sphaeramia orbicularis (orbiculate cardinalfish). RNAcentral's name for it is "lncRNA (ENSSORG00005022256.1)". Lineage: Eukaryota; Metazoa; Chordata; Actinopteri; Kurtiformes; Apogonidae. The record is from RNAcentral.